Molecule: ribosomal RNA, 450 nt
Filed under: uncultured bacterium
Lineage: Bacteria
Description: bacterial SSU rRNA
Rfam family: Bacterial small subunit ribosomal RNA
Source: RNAcentral
UGGGGAAUCUUCCGCAAUGGGCGCAAGCCUGACGGAGCAACGCCGCGUGGGGGACGAAGGCCUUCGGGUCGUAAACCUCUGUCAGCGGGAAAGAGGGGCCGGGCGGUGAACAGCCGCUUGGCCUGACGGUACUCGCAGAGGAAGCCACGGCCAACUCCGUGCCAGCAGCCGCGGUAAUACGGAGGUGGCGAGCGUUGUUCGGAAUUACUGGGCGUAAAGGGCGCGUAGGCGGGGGGAGAAGUCGGGUGUGAAAGCCCUCGGCUCAACCGAGGAACGGCGCUCGAGACUCUCUCUCUUGAGUCCCGGAGAGGACGAUGGAAUUCCCGGUGUAGCGGUGAAAUGUGUAGAGAUCGGGAGGAACACCGGUGGCGAAGGCGGUCGUCUGGACGGUGACUGACGCUGAGGCGCGAAAGCGUGGGGAGCAAACGGGAUUAGAUACCCCCGUAGUCC